CCAGACUCCUACGGGAGGCAGCAGUGGGGAAUAUUGCACAAUGGGGGAAACCCUGAUGCAGCGACGCCGCGUGAGUGAGGAAGUAUUUCGGUAUGUAAAGCUCUAUCAGCAGGGAAGAAAAAAUGACGGUACCUGACUAAGAAGCACCGGCUAAAUACGUGCCAGCAGCCGCGGUAAUACGUAUGGUGCAAGCGUUAUCCGGAUUUACUGGGUGUAAAGGGAGCGCAGGCGGUACGGCAAGUCUGAAGUGAAAGCCCGGGGCUCAACCGCGGGACUGCUUUGGAAACUGUUAAGCUGGAGUGCAGGAGAGGUAAGUGGAAUUCCUAGUGUAGCGGUGAAAUGCGUAGAUAUUAGGAGGAACACCAGUGGCGAAGGCGGCUUACUGGACUGUAACUGACGUUGAGGCUCGAAAGCGUGGGGAGCAAACAGGAUUAGAUACCCCGGUA
RNAcentral lists this ribosomal RNA (446 nucleotides) under uncultured bacterium. Its description in RNAcentral is "bacterial SSU rRNA". It matches the Rfam family "Bacterial small subunit ribosomal RNA", at positions 331 to 792 of the family's 1533-position model. The record is from RNAcentral.